Molecule: ribosomal RNA, 301 nt
Filed under: uncultured bacterium
Lineage: Bacteria
Description: partial 16S ribosomal RNA
Rfam family: Bacterial small subunit ribosomal RNA
Source: RNAcentral
CAGUAGCCACGGUAAUACGUAGGUGGCAAGCGUUGUCCGGAAUUAUUGGGCGUACAGGGCUCGCAGGCGGUUUCUUAAGUCUGAUGUGAAAGCCCCCGGCUCAACCGGGGAGGGUCAUUGGAAACUGGGAAACUUGAGUGCAGAAGAGGAGAGUGGAAUUCCACGUGUAGCGGUGAAAUGCGUAGAGAUGUGGAGGAACACCAGUGGCGAAGGCGACUCUCUGGUCUGUAACUGACGCUGAGGAGCGAAAGCGUGGGGAGCGAACAGGAUUAGAUACCCCCGUAGUCCCUGUCUCUUAUAC